ACACAUGACCCCUUGCCCUUUGACCCCUUCCCCCCGCGUGACCCCUGACCUCCGACCCUCCUUGCCUCCAACCACCUGCUUCACCCUCGCCUCCCGGUGGUAAAAUGAACGCGAGGCGCUUCUCCUGACGUCACGCGAGGGGGCUGAGGCGAUCUCCGACGCAUGCGCGUCACGCUCUUCGCCUUCGGACGGGAGGCGCUCCCGCUUGGGUGCGCGGGGGGGUGGGGGCGGGGAUGCGGUCGUACUUCUGUGCGCUCCUCGCUCUUUUCACCUCGCGCGCCGAGGCUCCUUGAGGGAAGGAAAUGUCUCCCCGCCUCAUGCCGGAGAAGCCUGCAGCAUCUUUCCUUCUGCAAAAGGGCAGGAAGCCGCAGCCUUUGGCAUCCAAGAGGACCUGACUUUGCAAAGGGGCGGACAGAAGACAUGACCAGAGAGAGGCUCCUGGCAGAGAAGAACUAGCAUUAAAUCAUGGCCUAAUGCCUGCCUGGAACUGUCCCCGAUGUAUCAUGCAAAGGAAAAAAUUAAUGCAAAGCUCAUCUCGGGCCAAGAACAUCGACUCUGCUUGGGUUGCAGCCUCAAGCUGGAAAAUGGAGGGGGCCCCGCAGCUGGAAAGCAAGCCUCGCAGGGAGCUGCUUCCGUCCAAUUCCUGACCUGCUGGUUUGCUAUAUGCAAGGAUUUUUUAAAAAUAGUCUCAAAAAUGGACAGGAAGAACACCUGGGCCGGUGACAGAAACCCCCGGAACAGAGCUAUUUCAACAUAUUAGAUUAACAGAGUUGGAAGGGACCUUGUAGGUCAUCUAGUCCAACCUCCCGCCCAAGCAGGAGACCCUACCUACACCAUUUCUAAUAAAUGGCGGUCUCCUUUACAGCUUGGGUCCUGCAGUUGGAAAGCAAUCUCUCAGGGCGCUACCUUCUCCCAAUUCCUGACCUUCUGGUUUUCUACCUGCAAGGAUUUUUUAAAAACAAUCUCAAAAAAUGGACAGGAAAAUCACCUGGGCUGGUGACAGAAACCUCUUGGAACUGGGGCAAGUCUCCUUUUUACAGCUUGGGCCCUGCAGCUGAAAAGCAAGCCUCUCAGGGAGCUGCCUCGGCCCAAUUCCUAACGUGCUGGUUUUCUACAUGGAAGGAUUUUUAAAAAGUCGCAAAAAUGGACAGGAAAAACACCUAAUGAUAGAAACACUUCCCAACAGGAGGAAGUCUCCUUUACCACUUUACAUCUCUACUGGGCAUGCCAGCCAGGGAAUUCUGGGAGUUGAAGUCUGCCCAUCUUAAAAUUGCUGAAACAUUGGUUUAAAUGGAGCAAAGCUCCCCUUUUCAGAAACUAAUAAAUGCAACAAAUGCGCUGUCACUCAUUUGGUUUCACCCUAUUCAUUUCCCUCCCCUGAACCAACAAAUGUUAUUUUCUACUGAAAUAACUUUUUUAAGGGAUAUUGUGUUCCAAAGUAUCCUGAAACCACACAACCAACUCUUGUCAGGAAUAUUUUUUUUUGCCCUUUGGGCUCAAAACAGCAGGCAGUAAAUGCCGCAGUUUUGUGAUGUGACGGAAGGAUGGGAAAACAUUUCCAUUCCCGUUCAAAUUGGAAGCGUGUUUUUGGAUUGCAAGGAAUAAAAAGCAAAAUGAAAAAAGUCCCUCAGUUAUUUGUCAGUUGUCUUUCAAAGUCUUUUUUCCCCAUCUGGAAAUGUUUGCAAAGCCCAGAAAGUAAGAAUGACUGGUUUUGCCAUGUCCAAUUUCUCUCUAUCGUCUUGGCAACCUUAAGUAUUUUUGGCCUAAACCCCAAGGGCAGGAAACAUGCAGAGCAAUGAAUCAUCUCCAACCCACAGCCAGAAAAUCUGUCCUCCCCUCUUUCAAAAGCCUGC
This 1853-nucleotide long non-coding RNA is filed under the name Laticauda laticaudata (blue-ringed sea krait). Its description in RNAcentral is "lncRNA (ENSLLTG00000017823.1)". The record is from RNAcentral. Lineage: Eukaryota; Metazoa; Chordata; Lepidosauria; Squamata; Elapidae.